UGACGUAAGAGUUCCCAACAGCAACCGGGGCUGCCUCUGAGUGACGUCAGCGACUAAACAACAACAAAAUAAACAGCAGCUGGCAGCGCGCGUGAGGAGCGGGGCUUGCUAUGGCUAAUCAGGGUGGAUGCGACAGCCUGGAUGCUUCAGAGGUGGAGCCGGUGGGAAAGAGCGCCGGUACCGGCGAGACUUCCUCCAGAUCACUCAGCUCAGGUGGAGGAGGAGAGAUGGCGGAGAAAGAGGAAGAGCAGCCUUCGAGAGUCCGACACCCUGCAGACACUUAUCCUCUGUGCCGUAUAUCAAAGCUGGUUAACUGGAAAAGACCAUUAUGGACUUCCGCUUUUUUCGCAACUACAAAUAUAGCGUUUUGGUUUGUGUCCCUUAGUCCCAGUCGGUUGUUCAGCCUCGUCUCCAUGUGUGUGGCUCUCUUUGUGAUGAUUCAGUUGAUGAGAGAUGUGGCUCUUUCCAGAUCCAGAGGAGCCGCUCUAUGGAGGAGUAUGACAAGCAGCUGCUGGAUUGCCUCAGCUUGUUCGUUUCUGCUGGCUGCUGUUGAUGCGAGUCCUGUUCCAACAGUUGUCUUCACCCGGAUCUUCACUCUGACCCCUUUGCCCCCUGUCCUCCCAUAGCUUUCUGUUGUGCCCUACUUUUUGUGU
This 653-nucleotide long non-coding RNA is filed under the name Sinocyclocheilus anshuiensis. RNAcentral's name for it is "lncRNA (ENSSANG00000007654.1)". The record is from RNAcentral. Lineage: Eukaryota; Metazoa; Chordata; Actinopteri; Cypriniformes; Cyprinidae.